GACGAACGCUGGCGGCGUGCUUAACACAUGCAAGUCGAACGGAAAGGCCCUGCUUUUGUGGGGUGCUCGAGUGGCGAACGGGUGAGUAACACGUGAGUAACCUGCCCUUGACUUUGGGAUAACUUCAGGAAACUGGGGCUAAUACCGGAUAGGAGCUCCUGCUGCAUGGUGGGGGUUGGAAAGUUUCGGCGGUUGGGGAUGGACUCGCGGCUUAUCCGCUUGUUGGUGGGGUAGUGGCUUACCAAGGCUUUGACGGGUAGCCGGCCUGAGAGGGUGACCGGCCACAUUGGGACGGAGAUACGGCCCAGACUCCUACGGGAGGCAGCAGUGGGGAAUAUUGCACAAUGGGCGGAAGCCUGAUGCAGCAACGCCGCGUGCGGGAUGACGGCCUUCGGGUUGUAAACCGCUUUCGCCUGUGACGAAGCGUGAGUGACGGUAAUGGGUAAAGAAGCACCGGCUAACUACGUG
RNAcentral lists this ribosomal RNA (468 nucleotides) under uncultured bacterium. RNAcentral describes it as "partial 16S ribosomal RNA". It matches the Rfam family "Bacterial small subunit ribosomal RNA", at positions 28 to 507 of the family's 1533-position model. The record is from RNAcentral.